RNAcentral lists this ribosomal RNA (253 nucleotides) under uncultured bacterium. RNAcentral describes it as "partial 16S ribosomal RNA". It matches the Rfam family "Bacterial small subunit ribosomal RNA", at positions 524 to 776 of the family's 1533-position model. The record is from RNAcentral.
UACGUAGGGAGCUAGCGUUGUUCGGAUAUAUUGGGCGUAAAGCGCACGUAGGCGGCGCCGCAAGUCAGGGGUGAAAUCCCGGAGCUCAACUCCGGAACUGCCCUUGAAACUGCAGUGCUAGAAUCCUGGAGAGGCGAGUGGAAUUCCGGGUGUAGAGGUGAAAUUCGUAGAUAUUCGGAAGAACACCAGUGGCGAAGGCGACUCGCUGGACAGGUAUUGACGCUGAGGUGCGAAAGCGUGGGGAGCAAACAGG